AUUGAACGCUGGCGGCAUGCCUUAUACAUGCAAGUCGAACGGUAGAGGGGGCAACCCCUCGAGAGUGGCGAACGGGUGAGUAAUAUAUCGGAACGUGCCCAGUCGUGGGGGAUAACGUAGCGAAAGUUACGCUAAUACCGCAUACGAUCUAAGGAUGAAAGCGGGGGAUCGCAAGACCUCGCGCGAUUGGAGCGGCCGAUAUCGGAGUAGGUAGUUGGUGGGGUAAAGGCUCACCAAGCCAACGAUCUGUAGCUGGUCUGAGAGGACGACCAGACACACUGGAACUAAGACACGGUACAGACUCCUACGGGAGGCAGCAGUGGGGAAUUUUGGACAAUGGACGCAAGUCUGAUCCAGCCAUUCCGCGUGCAGGAUGAAGGCCCUCGGGUUGUAAACUGCUUUUGUACGGAACGAAAAGGUCUCUCUUAAUACGGGGGACUCAUGACGGUACCGUAAGAAUAAGCACCGGCUAACUACGUGCCAGCCGCCGCUGUAA
This 496-nucleotide ribosomal RNA is filed under the name uncultured bacterium. RNAcentral's name for it is "partial 16S ribosomal RNA". It matches the Rfam family "Bacterial small subunit ribosomal RNA", at positions 30 to 523 of the family's 1533-position model. The record is from RNAcentral.